RNAcentral lists this ribosomal RNA (297 nucleotides) under uncultured Chlamydia sp. RNAcentral's name for it is "partial 16S ribosomal RNA". It matches the Rfam family "Bacterial small subunit ribosomal RNA", at positions 1041 to 1337 of the family's 1533-position model. The record is from RNAcentral. Lineage: Bacteria; Pseudomonadati; Chlamydiota; Chlamydiia; Chlamydiales; Chlamydiaceae.
CUGCAUGGCUGUCGUCAGCUCGUGCCGUGAGGUGUUGGGUUAAGUCCCGCAACGAGCGCAACCCUUGUCGUUAGUUGCCAACGCGUAAUGGCGGGCACUCUAGCGAGACUGCCUAGGUUAACUAGGAGGAAGGUGAGGAUGACGUCAAGUCCGCAUGGCCUUUAUGUCCAGGGCUACACACGUGCUACAAUGGUCGGUACAAUGGGAAGCUAAGUCGUGAGAUGGAGCAAAUCCUUUAAAGCCGGCCCCAGUUCAGAUUGGAGUCUGCAACUCGACUCCAUGAAGAUGGAAUUGCUA